UUAUUAGCUAAUGAAAACGAUGAUGAUGAACUUACGAGUGUUGGUGCGACGGUGGUUGGUGAGACUCCAAGGGCAUUUUGGCGGGAACAGAAAAGUGACCGUUGAAUCUCCGGCUUUGGCAGCGGAGAACCAGCUAUAUGUAAAAAUGGAAACUUCGAUGCCAUUGACCUCGAGUCUCCGGCGAGGUGUGAGAGAGAGAGCGUGUGAGUGAGUGAACAAAUAAGCUUGCAACGAAC
This 236-nucleotide unclassified non-coding RNA is filed under the name Hevea brasiliensis (rubber tree). Lineage: Eukaryota; Viridiplantae; Streptophyta; Magnoliopsida; Malpighiales; Euphorbiaceae. The record is from RNAcentral.